UACGAAGGGGGCUAGCGUUGCUCGGAAUUACUGGGCGUAAAGGGAGCGUAGGCGGAUAGUUCAGUCAGAGGUGAAAGCCCAGGGCUCAACCUUGGAAUUGCCUUUGAUACUGGCUGUCUUGAGUAUGGGAGAGGUUAGCGGAACUCCGAGUGUAGAGGUGAAAUUCGUAGAUAUUCGGAAGAACACCAGUGGCGAAGGCGGCUAACUGGCCCAUUACUGACGCUGAGGCUCGAAAGCGUGGGGAGCAAACAGGAUUAGAUACCCUGGUAGUCCACGCCGUAAACGAUGAGUGCUAGUUGUCGGCAUGCAUGCAUGUCGGUGACGCAGCUAACGCAUUAAGCACUCCGCCUGGGGAGUACGGUCGCAAGAUUAAA
Molecule: ribosomal RNA, 374 nt
Filed under: uncultured bacterium
Lineage: Bacteria
Description: bacterial SSU rRNA
Rfam family: Bacterial small subunit ribosomal RNA
Source: RNAcentral